AUUGAACGCCGGCGGCAGGCCUAACACAUGCAAGUCGAGCGGUAGAGAGAAGCUUGCUUCUCUUGAGAGCGGCGGACGGGUGAGUAAUGCCUAGGAAUCUGCCUGGUAGUGGGGGAUAACGUUCGGAAACGGACGCUAAUACCGCAUACGGCCUACGGGAGAAAGCUGGGGACCUUCGGGCCUUGCGCUAUCAGAUGAGCCUAGGUCGGAUUAGCUAGUUGGUGGGGUAAUGGCUCACCAAGGCGACGAUCCGUAACUGGUCUGAGAGGAUGAUCAGUCACACUGGAACUGAGACACGGUCCAGACUCCUACGGGAGGAAGCAGUGGGGAAUAUUGGACAAUGGGCGAAAGCCUGAUCCAGCCAUGCCGCGUGUGUGAAGAAAGUCUUCGGAUUGUAAAGCACUUUAAGUUGGGAGGAAGGGCAGUAAAUUAAUACUUUGCUGUUUUGACGUUACCGACAGAAUAAGCACCGGCUAACUCUGUGCCAGCAGCCGCCGUAA
This 500-nucleotide ribosomal RNA is filed under the name uncultured bacterium. Its description in RNAcentral is "partial 16S ribosomal RNA". It matches the Rfam family "Bacterial small subunit ribosomal RNA", at positions 30 to 523 of the family's 1533-position model. The record is from RNAcentral.